UGUCCGGGGCGGCCGCAUGUGGCCCAAGGGCCGUAGUUUGAGGACGCCUGCUCUAGUCAGUUUUACAACCCAGGAACUUCUUUCUCAAGGACCCGGGAGCCACCCUUUUGAAAUGUAAUCAUUAAAGAAAGCAGCACCGUUACCCCCCAGUCUCUGUGGGAGGCCGGAAGCCUAACUGGCGUGGCGCCUUGCUGAGCUGUAAAGCUGCCUCCUAACACAAAGACAGGAGAAACCUUCUUUUCCGUUUGGGAAGGCCGAUUUGCGGCCGCAGAUGGCGUGUGUCCCUCCGCCCCAGCGCCUGCAGCCGGCCCCUUUGUUUCGGUGGCUCUGAGUAUGCGGACUCCGGCUGUGCUCUCGCCCUGGGCGUGGGCAAGAGCGGCGGCAUAAAAUCCACGUCUUUCUGCUCGUCUUGCUCAGCGUGAUUUUCCCUUUGGCAGGUGCUGUGGAUACAACUAUAAACAAAACAGCCGGACAUAGCCUUCACUUUGGGGAAGUUCCAAUUUUGGCUAGAAGAGCCAAACAGUGAACAGAGACGCACACACAUCAAUCGUGACCAGCUCCAUGAAAAGAAAUACGCAAGUAGCUUAAAGUGACAGAGAAUGAAAGGUGACAGUUCAGAUGGGGAUAAGAGACUAUAUCAAGGGACUGGUUUUAAAAAGAAAAAAAGAAGCACAGUAAAAAACAAUGUUUAAAAUAUAACAUCCCUUCAAAGAAAAAGGCGGGAACUUCCCUGUCCUCAUCAGACCUGCUCGCAUAGCUGCAGGUGAGGCAAUGAAAAUCUACAUUGGAUGCCGA
This is a long non-coding RNA of Microcebus murinus (gray mouse lemur), 795 nucleotides long. RefSeq lists it as uncharacterized. The record is from RefSeq and is a predicted model, not a curated record. NCBI's taxonomy places the organism in Eukaryota, Metazoa, Chordata, Mammalia, Primates, Cheirogaleidae.